Molecule: long non-coding RNA, 1046 nt
Organism: Bactrocera tryoni
Lineage: Eukaryota; Metazoa; Arthropoda; Insecta; Diptera; Tephritidae
Exons: 3
Source: RefSeq, a predicted model, not a curated record
AUGUUGACGAAAUUUCCUUUGACGUUCAGCAUUUGAUUUUGAUUUUGAUACUGUUUUCAUUAUUUUUAUUUCUUUUUCUUUUUUUAUGAUUUUUAUUUCUUCAUUUUUCUUCAAAUCUUUCUGACGCUGAUAAUAUGCCCUUUGACGUACAUUAUGAUUUUUUUCUCUUUUUAUUCUUUUUACCUCUUUACGCUUUUCUUCUCUAUAAAAUGAAAAUAUCUAGGUAUAAAUAGUGUAAUGACACAGCAAAACAAAAUUACUCAUUUAUAAAAAUAUAACAAUAUUAAGAAGUGAUUAUCGAAUUUCGCGCGAUGUACAUACAUUUAUAUAUACUUUCUUUGCGCGGCAUUCAUGUGCAUUAUCUAUACACCAAAAACAAAGGUACUGAAUAGUACAUGUGCUUGGUUUGAUGGUUUCUGUUAUAUACAUAAUGAAGAAUAAAUUUAUUUAUAAAUAUAUAUAUGUAUAUACAUAUUAGAAUCUAAAUUGAGAAUUUAAACUAUACGCGUGUGUAUGUUUGUGUGUAUAAAAGGGCUACCUUUAAUAUCGCUCAUUUUAAUAUCAAAAAUUUAGGUUAUCUUUAUAAUACUGCAUUUGUGAUAAUAAUAAAAUGUAUGUAUAUAGAGUACUCACUCAUUUUCUUCCACUAUUUCUUCGUUAAUAAUAAAUGCACUUUGUUCAUUCAUAUUCAAUAUUCAAAAAAACACUUUAUACACAAAUUUUAUUCCAGAAAAUGUAAAGUCAUCUACCGUGGUAAAGUAUAGAGAAGGUGCGGGUUCAAUGGCGGACAUUUGUUACGAGGCAUCUCGACAAGAGAGAAUUUAUAGCUGCAUUGCCGUGCAUAUUGCUUGUGGAGACUCCACAUUGCUCAUAGCAGAAAACGAAAGAGGUUAACAAGGAGAAAAAGAAAUCAUUUGGACCAUUGGUAAAAUUCAAAUCUAUAGCGUGCAGCAACCAAAUAAUGGAGUAUGUUUUAAAUUAUUAAAGUUAAAUAGUGUAUAUUUCAUUCAAAUAUUUGUUAUAGAUUGUGCAUUUUAUUUUGAUUU